RNAcentral lists this unclassified non-coding RNA (189 nucleotides) under Rhincalanus nasutus. Its description in RNAcentral is "partial ITS2". The record is from RNAcentral. Lineage: Eukaryota; Metazoa; Arthropoda; Copepoda; Calanoida; Eucalanidae.
CAUCUAUCAGACAGUUUGCUGUCUGCAUUGGGCUCCUCGCUAUGCUUGUCACAGCGGAGCUCUAAGAUUCGUCUCGCAGAGUGCAUCGACUCGACUCUUGGGAGAGAUCCUGGGUUGUUGUCGAUCGCUGCGGUGACAUGGUAGCUGGGACUUGACUGAACGUCUUGAAAGCACCGCCAAAUUAUAACU